AACUUUUGGCAAUGGAUCACUUGGGUCUCCCAUCGAUGAAGAACGCAGCGAAAUGCGAUAAGUAAUGUGAAUUGCAGAAUUCAGUGAAUCAUCGAAUCUUUGAACGCACCUUGCACCCUUUGGAAUUCCAAAGGGUAUGCUCGUUUGAGUGUCAUUGUACUCUCACACUCUCCGAUCCUCUGGAUUUGGGGAGCGGUGGACUUGGGUGCUUGCUGCUUUCCUUGCGGCUCACCUCAAAUGCGUCAGUGCAUCUCUUGAUUGGACAUAGUACGGCGUGAUAAGUGUCUUCGCCGGCACCUCAUAAGAGGGUGGCUGAUCGGGAGCUCUGUGCUUUCAAACCGUCUUCGGACACUCUCUGACAACUUGACCUCAAAUCGAGUAGGACUACCCGCUGAACUUAAGCAUAUCAAUAAGCGGAGGCU
Molecule: unclassified non-coding RNA, 422 nt
Filed under: uncultured Sebacina
Lineage: Eukaryota; Fungi; Basidiomycota; Agaricomycetes; Sebacinales; Sebacinaceae
Description: sequence contains ITS2
Rfam family: 5.8S ribosomal RNA (bases 1-154)
Source: RNAcentral